RNAcentral lists this ribosomal RNA (176 nucleotides) under Hapalotrema sp. RNAcentral describes it as "partial 28S large subunit ribosomal RNA". Lineage: Eukaryota; Metazoa; Platyhelminthes; Trematoda; Strigeidida; Spirorchiidae. The record is from RNAcentral.
CACCGAAGCCUGUGGUUAUUUGACUACUAGGCAAUGUGGUGUUUAGGUUGGUUCAUGGCAUUACUGCUCUACCCGAAGUCCAGCAAUGAGUACGGCUUACUGNUCUGGCCNACAGAGGGUNAAAGGCCCGUGGGGGUGNAGAUCAAGUUUGUNAGUUUUGCUUUGAGCCUACCUUN